GUCGGCCUACGGGGCGCAGCAGUGGGGGAUAUUGCACAAUGGGGGAAACCCUGAUGCAGCGACGCCGCGUGAGUGAAGAAGUAUUUCGGUACGUAAAGCUCUAUCAGCAGGGAAGAAUAAUGACGGUACCUGACUAAGAAGCCCCGGCUAACUACGUGCCAGCAGCCGCGGUAAUACGUAGGGGGCAAGCGUUAUCCGGAUUUACUGGGUGUAAAGGGAGCGUAGACGGCCGUGCAAGUCUGAUGUGAAAACCCGGGGCUCAACCCCGGGACUGCAUUGGAAACUGCAUGGCUGGAGUGUCGGAG
RNAcentral lists this ribosomal RNA (305 nucleotides) under uncultured bacterium. RNAcentral's name for it is "bacterial SSU rRNA". It matches the Rfam family "Bacterial small subunit ribosomal RNA", at positions 333 to 654 of the family's 1533-position model. The record is from RNAcentral.